Non-coding RNA from Chrysemys picta bellii (western painted turtle), 432 nucleotides. The record is from RefSeq and is a predicted model, not a curated record. NCBI's taxonomy places the organism in Eukaryota, Metazoa, Chordata, Testudines, Emydidae.
GGGCAAAAAUGGAAAACUGCCAAUCUGUUAUCCAAGAUAAUGAAGCAAUUUCUCAACAUGGGGUAGAUCACAUGAAAGCACAUGAAAUACAGAGGGAUUAAAAGGACUUUGAGAAUACAUAAUAAAUUAAGGACCUUUUUACAUUCCCUAUAUAUUAUUGUCUGCCCAAGGAUUGCAGGUUCAAACCCUAAAUGGAUUGGAAAAAAAAAAAGAUACCUCACUGUUACAUGACUUCAGCUGUUGACACCACUUAGCAAGGAGCCCCUGAUCCUGCUACUACAUCCGUAUGGGCAGACCCUUACCCCUGAUGGAACUCCACUGAUUUCAACUGGGGCUUUAUGUGAACACAGGGGUCAGCCCAGGAAGUUGUAGAAUUGGGACCCUAUAAAGCUAAAUAAGAAGGAAAAAUUUUUUAAGUUGUGUGUGUGUGUG